UACGUAGGUGGCAAGCGUUGUCCGGAUUUAUUGGGCGUAAAGCGAGCGCAGGCGGUUCAUUAAGUCUGAUGUGAAAGCCCCCGGCUCAACCGGGGAGGGUCAUUGGAAACUGGGAGACUUGAGUGCAGAAGAGGAGAGUGGAAUUCCAUGUGUAGCGGUGAAAUGCGUAGAUAUAUGGAGGAACACCAGUGGCGAAGGCGGCUCUCUGGUCUGUAACUGACGCUGAGGCUCGAAAGCGUGGGGAGCGAACAGGAUUAGAUACCCUGGUAGUCCACGCCGUAAACGAUGAGUGCUAAGUGUUGGAGGGUUUCCGCCCUUCAGUGCUGCAGCAAACGCAUUAAGCACUCCGCCUGGGGAGUACGACCGCAAGGUUGAA
This 376-nucleotide ribosomal RNA is filed under the name uncultured bacterium. RNAcentral describes it as "bacterial SSU rRNA". It matches the Rfam family "Bacterial small subunit ribosomal RNA", at positions 524 to 898 of the family's 1533-position model. The record is from RNAcentral.